CCUACGGGUGGCUGCAGUCGAGAAUCAUUCACAAUGGGGGAAACCCUGAUGGUGCGACGCCGCGUGGGGGAAUGAAGGUCUUCGGAUUGUAAACCCCUGUCAUGUGGGAGCAAAUUAAAAAGAUAGUACCACAAGAGGAAGAGACGGCUAACUCUGUGCCAGCAGCCGCGGUAAUACAGAGGUCUCAAGCGUUGUUCGGAAUCACUGGGCGUAAGGCGUGCGUAGGCUGUUUCGUAAGUCGUGUGUGAAAGGCGCGGGCUCAACCCGCGGACGGCACAUGAUACUGCGAGACUAGAGUAAGGGAGGGGGAACCGGAAUUCUCGGUGUAGCAGUGAAAUGCGUAGAUAUCGAGAGGAACACUCGUGGCGAAGGCGGGUUCCUGGACAUUAACUGACGCUGAGGCUCGAAAGCGUGGGGAGCAAACAGGAUUAGAUACCCCUGUAGUC
This 446-nucleotide ribosomal RNA is filed under the name uncultured bacterium. Its description in RNAcentral is "partial 16S ribosomal RNA". It matches the Rfam family "Bacterial small subunit ribosomal RNA", at positions 338 to 795 of the family's 1533-position model. The record is from RNAcentral.